This 165-nucleotide non-coding RNA is filed under the name human gut metagenome. RNAcentral describes it as "Lysine riboswitch". It matches the Rfam family "Lysine riboswitch aptamer". Rfam says of the family: Riboswitches are metabolite binding domains within certain messenger RNAs that serve as precision sensors for their corresponding targets. Allosteric rearrangement of mRNA structure is mediated by ligand binding, and this results in modulation of gene expression. The record is from RNAcentral.
AUUAGAGGUCGCGGAGACGAUCAGUACGUCACAGAGAAACGCCGGCAAGCGUCUGUGGCAGAAAGGCCGAUCCGCCGAAGCGCAUCGCGGUUGCCGCCGCCGUGUAGCUGGGGCUGCGUCGAACAGAUGCAGAACUGUCGCAUGUUCCCAUGCGGAGGGCUAUCG